Non-coding RNA from Phyllosticta capitalensis, 117 nucleotides. The record is from the annotation of a GenBank genome assembly. NCBI's taxonomy places the organism in Eukaryota, Fungi, Ascomycota, Dothideomycetes, Botryosphaeriales, Phyllostictaceae.
GCGUUGGUGGUUUAGUGGUAAAAUUGAUCGUUGCCAUUCGAAGACGCGCUUACGAGUAUUUACUGGGCGGGCAAUUCAUGUCUCGAUCAGCCCCGGGUUCGAUUCCCGGCCGACGCA